CGCACUCAAGAGCCAAAACUCUGUCAUUUUUGUCUCCAAUCACCAUUUUCAUCACCUUUCGUUCACCUGUUAGUAAAUGAAGCUUCAUAGUCAUCUAUUACGACUUGAUCAACUUUACCAUUUUCUAUCUUCCAUUUUGUUUUUAUGACUAUGUGAUUGUAUUAGAAGGUUGGAUAUUGUCAAACAAUUCUUAUUAUCAAUAUGAUAAUUGCAAUGUGUAUCACAUUUUCAUCUCAAUUUUUUACCACUUACAUGAGUGAUCCCAAAGAGGUACCCAAAACUAUCAUGUGUCUGAUGGAACAUUCACAAUCUAGUGAUCCUGAAGAAACAUUCUCAACAGUGAACCCGAAGAAACACUUAUGAUAUCGGGUUGUAGUGAUCACAUCGGACCACACAUAAACAUAACAUGAUAGAUUGGUGGUCAACGCACACAAUCAUAAAUCUGUGAAAGGUGGUGAUCUUAGGGGACACCCAUAUAAUUACAAACCUAAUAGUCAAAGUUAACAGAACAUUAUAGUUCAUAGCAUGUAGCAACAUCAUAAACAUGACAUGAAUAUCAAUCAUAAAGCUCUUAAUCACGUGAUUAAUAUAUCAUGCAUAAUCAUUAACAUAAGCAUAUUAGUCACCAUUAACACCACCAUAUUAUGCAUUUUAGCUACCAUCAAUGCAUAAUAGUAAAAAUUCAUGUUUUAAGGUUCAAUAGUAUAAUUUUUUACCUGAAAGAUUAACCAAACACAAUACUCUCUAGCUGAUAGUAAAAAUUCUAUGAUUAAUCGAUCUCAAAAUUAAGGUUGAAAUCAAUUCACUCUUGAUGGUAAAAAUUCAUCAUUUAAAUCUUCAAGAUUUUUCAAAACGACUUUCCAAAGACAUGCAAUUAAAAUCAAUUCCAAUAAUAAACUUAGUAAAGAUGACGAAGAACCUUUCAUUUUCUUUUUUCUUACUUUUUUCAAUUUAAGCAUUACAAUGUUAUUUAUAAACCCUAUUAGUAUAAUAAUAUCUAUUAUUAUUAUUUUCUUUUCUUUUAGAAUAUAUAUAUAAUAUCAGUAUAUACAUAUAUUUUUAUUACAAUUAUCUUUUCUCAAUCAACUUCUUAAAUGCACAAAAUUUUAGGCAUUUAUAACCAUUAAUAAUAAUAAUACUUUCUUAUAAACAAAUAUAUUUAUUUAAAUCAUUAUUCUCUUCGUAAUUAAAUAUAUUUUUUUUGUCCAAUUAAAUUCAUCAUCUCUCCUCAUUAAUUAUCUUAUUUUUCAAACAAUUAUAAUUAUAUUCCACAGUAUAAUUAGCUUUACAUUUUCUUAUUAGUUAUUUAUACAAAAUCAAUAAUAACAUAUUCUAUAUAGGAUUAAUUACCAAAAUAUUAUUAUUUCUAAAACUAUUUACGAGUAUACUCCAGUUUCAAAACUAUUUAGGAAAAUGUUGCUAUUUUUUUUUUUCUUUCUCCUUGGGCGAGUCUUCUUUCUUUUUUUUUUUCUAGUUUUUGAUAUAAAUUUUAUUGCUUCUCUCUUUUUUUUUUAAUUGUUCGUAUACAUUUUUCUUCUUCCUUUUUUAAAUUUAUCUUUUAUAUAAAUUUUUAUAAUUUUCUUAAAUUUUUCAUAUAAUUUUUUCUUAAAAACUAAAUUCUACUAAUUUAAAAAAAUUUAAAUUUUAGGAGUACUUACAUAAUUAGAAAAAUAAAUUAACAAACACAAGAUAAUGUUAAUAUUUAAAUAAUCUUUUGAGAUGUUCUAAACAAAAAUAAAAUUUUCUUUUAAAAAAAUAUCAAAUUUGAAGAGUGAAUAUUUUAUAUAAUUAAAAAAGCACGCACACAUGAAAUAUUUUUCAUUAAAAUUUAGAAUUUCAAGGACAGAGUAUUAGGAUAACUUCCACAAAAUAAAUACCUCGUGAAUAAAUACAACAAAUAAUAAUAUUAAUAAUUCUUUUAGAAUUUUGUUAAAAUCUUUUGGUAUUCUGAACAAAAGUAAGAUUUUAAACUUGACGAUAUGGAAAAUUCUCAUUUCUUCUAUAAAAAUCUUCUUAAUCUCGGCUAUAUCUUGGCACUACCAUGUAUAUUAUUUAUUUUUGUUAAAUUCAUUUUUUCUAAAUUAUUUAGAUAUAUUUUGACUAGAUUUUUAUAUUUUAUAUUUGUAGACUUUGUGGCCAUUCAAAAAAAGAACGAACAAGUCUAUUUUUCUCGUUUUAUGUCCUAUAUAUAUAACAAAUAAUAUUAUAUUCUCAUGUUAUUUACUUUUUGUGUAGUUUAUCUGUCUUGGAUUGACAACCAGAAAAACAAAUUGAAAGACAAUAGUAGAACCGUCCUUCAAUUUGUAAGUUUUUUUUUAUAAACUGAAUCAAUUGUAUUAAUGUUUUAUUCUAAAAAAUGUUUGAUGAUUAUAUGUAUGAUAUGUAUAUUCUUCUCCGCACUACCUAUCCGAUUCCCAAACCUUUUUUGUUUAAAAUGGAACAAAACAUGAUUCUGUAUGCAUUUAAAAAUUUGACAAUGUGGAACUUGAACAAUAAUAAAACUAGAUGUGUAAUUUUUUGAUAUUGCAAACGGUCAAAAUUAGAAAUUAUAAGUUUUUGUCUUUCUAACUACUGUUAUCGCUUAUCAAUUAUAUUUCACUAACUAUAUAUGUACUUUUUAAAUAUAAAAAUUUAACCUCUAUACAACCAAUCAACCAAAAAGAGUGAUGUUUUUAAUUUUAGGUUGAUGUUUUUAAUUUUUGUGAAAAUGCUAUAUGAAAAUGCUAUAUUCUACUCAUUUGUUUAAAAUAAUCCUAAUAAUUUUUGUGAAAUAAACUUUAGGUGAAUAAGAUUCCAAAAAACAUAUAAUAAAACUGUUAGUAAUUAAUAUAUAUUGGUUAUUAUAUAUGAAAUUGAUUCACACAUUUCUCUUGUUUUAGAAAUAUAAAUGGAAAGUUGAAUCUCUAAAGAUUUUGUAAAAUAAAUUUAAUUUACAUUUAUGCUUUAUUAAUUUUAAUAUUGUAAUUUUAUUUUAUUUGAUUUAUUAAAUUGAUCAAAUAAAUUUUUAAAAAACAUUCACAUUCUUCCCUCUUAAAAAAAAUAAAAGAAAAAUGAACAACAAAUAAAAAAGAAACUUUUGGAACAAUUUAACAAUAUUCCUACCAAACAACGAGUCCAGUCAAAUUUAACAAAUAAAUAAAUAAUACUAUCCACUUUUAACGAAAAAUUUACUACACUUGAUCAUUUCUAGUUGAAUGAACAUACUUAUUUAUAAUUUUAUACUUCUAUAUAACUUAUUUAUAAUUUUAUACUUCUAUAUAACUUAUAUCGUUAAGUUAAAUAUUUAGAAUUUAUUUAUUUUGAACUCCCUUGUAUUUGUGAAACCUUAUCUAUUGUAUUUGUUUAUUUAUUUUACCAAAAAAUGUUACUUUUGUUUAGAACAUACUAAAAGAUUUUAACAAAAUUCUAAAAGAAUUAUUAACUUACUAUUUUUUGUAUUUAUUUAUGAAGUAUUUAUUUAUCAAGUUAUACCAAAUACUCUACUCUUCAAAUUUUGAAUUUUAACCAAAAAUAUUUAUUAACAUUAUUAUUGAUGUGUGUACAUUUUUUAAGUAUACAACCACUCUUGAAAUUUAGUAUUUUUUAAAAGAAAAUUUUAUUUUUGUUUAGAAUAUCCCAACAGAUUUUAUAGUGAAAAUUUUAAAAUAGUAUUUACAUUAUUCUAUGUCUGUUAAUUUAUUUGGCCAAUUGCUCAAAUAUUAUAUUUCUAAAAUUUAGAUUUGUUCAAAUUAGUAGAAUUUAGAUUUUUUAAAAAAGUUAAUUAAAUUUUAGCUCCCGUCCUUGUAACAUCCAAAUAAUUUAAGAUAAUUAAUAAAUAAAAUAAAAUAUCAAUGACUAUCAUCCCUUCUAAAUUAAAUAUUUUAAAUUAAGGGAAAAAUCAUGGACAUCAUUUUUUCUUUUGUUUUUUGCAAAUAUAUUGUAAUAAAUGUUGGAAUGAGAAUUUGAACCUGAAACCACCUAUUCAGAGGAACAUAAAGGUACCAGUUGAGCUAAGCUCAUGCGCACCGAUAACUCUUAUUUUUGUUUAGCCUAAGCAAAAGUUAAGUGCUGAAGUAAAAGUUGAGUGCUGAAGAGAUAGAAAAGUGAGAAGUGGAAGUUCUAAAAGUACACACCUCAGACAAUGGCAUCGAUAUGAUGAACAAACCAGUGACCGAAUGAAGUUGGAAAAGUUCCUUGGACUAACUGGUUUUACAGAACCUGAGUAAAACCUGUAAAGAAGAAAGGGAGCAGAAAAAUAAAUUGAAAUGAUUUUGUCUCUUUCAAGGUGGAGUUUUGAAGGGUUUUCUUUGUGUAACCUCUCAAGUUUGAAAUAAAAAUCAUUUUGUGUAAAAUCUGUUAAUUAGAAAAGUAGUUGAUGAAAAUAUCAACAAUAAAAGGUGCUUUUAGACAGAUUAUUAAAGGGUGAUUCAAAAUCGGAGAAGUGAUUUUCUGAGAGUAAAAAAAACUUAUAUGGUUACUGUUUUCUCCGUGGAUGCAGCUGAUCAUCUCUUUGACCAAACCAUGUAAUUGCUUCUGUCUCUUAUCUUUCUUCUUCUCCUUAUUUUGUUUAAAUCUCCGUAGCUUCUACAAAUUGUUCUUCUGAUCUAUGUAUUUGUA
This 4596-nucleotide long non-coding RNA is filed under the name Cucumis sativus (cucumber). Its description in RNAcentral is "long non-coding RNA (CSAT_LNC000423)". The record is from RNAcentral. Lineage: Eukaryota; Viridiplantae; Streptophyta; Magnoliopsida; Cucurbitales; Cucurbitaceae.